RNAcentral lists this small RNA (27 nucleotides) under Bombyx mori (domestic silkworm). RNAcentral describes it as "ovarian small RNA-12595". The record is from RNAcentral. Lineage: Eukaryota; Metazoa; Arthropoda; Insecta; Lepidoptera; Bombycidae.
AUGCAUUACAGUGUAUCAUGUCGUGAC